UACGGAGGGAGCUAGCGUUGUUCGGAAUUACUGGGCGUAAAGCGCGCGUAGGCGGCUUUGUAAGUUAGAGGUGAAAGCCCGGAGCUCAACUCCGGAACUGCCUUUAAGACUGCAUCGCUUGAAUCCAGGAGAGGUGAGAGGAAUUCCGAGUGUAUAGGUGAAAUUCGUAGAUAUUCGGAAGAACACCAGUGGCGAAGGCGGCUCACUGGACUGGUAUUGACGCUGAGGUGCGAAAGCGUGGGGAGCAAACAGG
RNAcentral lists this ribosomal RNA (253 nucleotides) under uncultured bacterium. Its description in RNAcentral is "partial 16S ribosomal RNA". It matches the Rfam family "Bacterial small subunit ribosomal RNA", at positions 524 to 776 of the family's 1533-position model. The record is from RNAcentral.